Molecule: long non-coding RNA, 400 nt
Organism: Dermochelys coriacea (leatherback sea turtle)
Lineage: Eukaryota; Metazoa; Chordata; Testudines; Dermochelyidae
Exons: 3
Source: RefSeq, a predicted model, not a curated record
AUCUAGCCAGUGCCUUUUUGAACCUUACUAAGUUUUGGUUUCAACAACAUCCUGUGGCAAUGAGUUCCACAGCUGAAUUACAUGUUGUGUGGAAAAAGUAUUUCCUCACAAGCAUAAUGAAAAUGGAAAGUUGCUCAAGAAGGAGGAAGCCGCCAUCUUGACUCUCAGCUGGCAGUUUGGAACAAAGGAAUGUCAGUGCAGGAGAGAAGCUAGAGAAUUUCACAGAUGUUUUAGGAAAAGCAAAGAUUGGAAAAUAUGAAUAUAGAAAUUUCACAGUGGAGGAAAAAAGAAGCAAACAACCAAAUGCACUUAUUUUGUAUGCAAUAUUCUGUGAUUACCUGCAGCUGACUCAUAAUGUCCCUGUAAUUCUAGGAGACUGUUAUUCAGUAACUGAACUAUU